GGAUAAUAUUUCAGAGUCUGAAAUUCCAUUUCCACACAGACAUGGAAAUUUAUAUCAAAUUUAUUACUCAGUUCAUUGGCAUCAAGAAAGUGAUGAGGUAGAAAAAAUGAAAAUGAAUUGGAUUGGAAAAUUGUACAGUUAUAUGGAACCUUUUGUUUCAAAGUCUCCAAGAGCUGCAUAUAUUAACUAUAGAGAUCUUGAUAUUGGGGUGAAUAAUAUUAAUGGAUACACAAGCUACAAGCAAGCUAGUGUUUGGGGUGUUAAAUACUUUAAGAACAACUUCAAAAGAUUGAUAAAAGUGAAGACUAAAGUUGAUCCUCUAAACUUCUUCAGAAAUGAACAGAGUAUACCUUCUCUCAUGUGUUCAAGGGACAUAAAGAAAUCCUUGUAGCAGAUAAGGUCAUAAUAGAAUAAUGCAAUAUGCUUUUUUAUUUUUCUUUUAUUUCUGUAUUGUUUUUAAAAAAUAAAAGUUUGGCACAAAAAUGCUACACAAAAACGUUUAGUACGUUUUAGGUGGGUGAGCGUGCGGGUAUGGACCGCGGAAAAUAAAAUUGAGGAAUCAAUUUCCGUAAAACAAAAGAUGUAACACAGCAAAAAAAUAAAAUCCAUGGGUGUUAUGCUAGUAAUUGAGUUUGCUUGCAAUCUAGAUGUCAAUAAUGCUUUCUAUGCUGAAUUGGUGGGUGUUAUGCUAGCAAUUGAGUUUGCUCACAAAAAAUGUUGACAUUGUCUGUGGAUUGAAACAUACUUACAAUUGGUGACUAUGGCCUUCAAAUCUCGCUCUAUAGUUCCUUGGAACUUAAGAAACAGUUGGCUCAUUUAUAUCACUAUUACUAGUAGUACGCAAUUUAUUAUAUCUCACAAUUUCAGAGAAGUAAAUCAAUGUGUUGAUAGGCUUGCCAAUCUUGGCCUGCAAAUGGACAUUUAUCAUCGAUGGGAUAGCAUUCCUCCGACUAUUUUAAAUGCUUUCAUAAGAAAUAGAUUGAGUUUACCUGAAUAUAGAUUUUGUUAGUCUAUUGCUGUUUGAUCGUAUCCCAUAGAGUAUGUUUGGAUGGUGUAAUUGAAAAUUUUAGAGAGUUUAAAAUUGUAGGCAUUUCAAAUGAUUAAAUUGAUUUGCCUACAUUUCUAAAUAUGUUUAUUUGGACAGACUAAUAAAAAAUUAAAAAUUUCCUUCAUUUCUAAAUAUUUUGUAUAACUAUUAUAAGAUGGAUGGUCAAGAUGAUUCCCAUGAUUUAGGAAUCAUCUUGAGCCGUAGAUGAUCGUUCUCGGUUGGUAAUACUGAUUGGGAUGGUCACACUGUUGGACACGCGGUUGUAUGACAAACUCAAAACUAAACAAACUGCCUAAACUUCUAUUUAUUAAAAAAAAUACACAUAUAAAAUGUUAGAGCACAAUCAAUCACUUUUACACUUACACACAGACACACUUGUUUUUCACUUUCUGGUUUUGUCACCAGAGAUGAAGAAGAUUAGAAAAAGGGAGAAAAUUUUAGAGAGUUUUAUGAAGGAGAAAUAGGAUGCACGGUCAUAUUCAAUGAAUCACUAAGUUGUAAUUUUCUUAUCGACAUCAUCAAUUUAUUCAACACUUGAAAGAGCUAUAAUUGCUCAAGUACAUAACAGAAAUAAAACACGAACAAACUAGUUGUUAUAACAGAAAACUAACUCUAUCGACACAGUUACUUGCGCUACAAGAAAACUAUUAUUCUUAACUAAUUUGAAUUAAACUCACCACAUAAAAGAGAAAUAACGAAGCAUAUUACAUUACUCUAUUAUGAACUUAGAUGCUUCAAGGAAUUCUAUCUGUGUCCCUUGGACAAAUGUGAAGGUAUACUUUGUUCAUUUCUGAAGAAGUUUAGAGGAUCAACUUUGGUCUUCACUUUUACCAAUCUUUUGAAGUUGUUCUUGAAGUACUUAACACCCCAAAUACUAGCUUGCUUGUAGCUUGUGUAUCCAUUGUUAUUAUUCACCCCAAUAUCAAGAUCUCUAUAAUUGAUAUAUGCAGCUCUUGGUGACUUUGAAACAAAAGGUUCCAUAAAACUAUACAGUUUUCUAAUCCAAUUCAUUUUAAUUUUUUCCACCUCAUCACUUUCUUGAUGCCAAUGAACCGAGUACAAAAUUUGGUAUAAAUUUCCAUAUCUAUGUGGAAAUGGAAUUUUAGACUCUGAAAUAUUAUUCAUUAUGCCACCAUAAGGAAAAAAAUACACCAUUGAAUCUUUGGCACCAUCUUCAUGAAACAUACGCCACAUUCUUUCUAAUCCAAUUUCAGAAAUGGGAAUUCUCACAAAAUCAGACUUUACUUUGAAAAUAUCCUUUGCAGCUUGUGUUCUGUUGAGCAACAUUUCAGGUGAUUCGCCUUUCGGAAAUCCAUAAAGGUAAAGAACCGAUUCAAUCCAACUCAUCUCAAUACAAUCUUCUCUAACCAAACCAAGUUCUGGAAACUUUUCUUUCAUCAAGGGAAUGAGUUUAUCUACACUUCCAAGAAACAAGGCUUGAAAUAAAGCUUGUACUGUUGAAUUUGACUUACCUUUUUUACUUAAAUUUACCCUUUGCAAGAUAACAUAAAUGGCUAUGUUUUCAUCAAUUGUACUUGUCACAAACUGCCACUUGUGAACAAGCUUUGUUGCAUUUUGAUCCAAUGUUUUUGGCACAUUGAACACUGACACACUUGAUGGAACUUGAACAAGUUUAACCUUCCAUGAAAUUAUGACUCCAAAACUUGCUCCUCCACCUCCUCUAAUAGCCCAAAAAAAAUCCUCACCCAUUGCUUCUCUGUCAAGAAACCUACCCUUCACAUCAAUUAUGUGAGCAUCAAUAAUAUUAUCAGCUGCAAGACCGAAUUUACGCACCAAGUUUCCAUAGCCACCACCACUGAAGUGUCCACCAACACCUACAGUAGGACAAGCACCGGCAGGAAAACCAAGAUUUCGGCUUUUUCGGCUAAUUGUGUAGUAAAGUUCACCAAGUGUUGCACCAGAUUGAACCCAAGCAGUUCUUUUUUCUACAUCUAUUGUAAUUUCUCUGAAGUAUGUGAAAUCAAUGAUGACAAAUGGGACUUCAGAAACAUAGGACCGACCCUCGAAGUCGUGGCCGCCGCUUCGGAUUCGAAUCUGCAGGUCAUGUCUUUGGGAACAGAUUAUGGUUGUUUGAAUUUGGGAAAUAUGUUUAGGUGUGAUAAUGACAAGAGGUUUCGGUGUUGUUUUGGAUGCAAAUCUGAGAUUUUGAGUGGUAAAUUGGAGUAUUGAUGAGUAAGAGGAAUUGGUUUUGGUGUACACAAGUUUAGACAUUGAAGUUGAGUUAUGUGAAUAACUAUAGAGACAUUGUAGGAAAUUUUCUUCAUGUUUAGUAGUAUCAAUUGCAGAAUAUGUGAAUGAAAAGAAAACAGCAAUUAGUACAAUAAUCAAAUAUGAUCUUAGAGGAAUCAUUUUUUGUUGGUUAUGUUAUGCAUAUGCUGCUAGAAAAUUAAUUUAUAAAAUAAUUUCUCUCUAGUAGUAGUGUGGAUAAUAGAUUAAUUAAAUUAAAGCGUGCUAAUUAAAUCUAAUAUGGUAGACAAGUCGGGCAGGGUAUGAGUUCGUUAUCAACUUUACUUCAAAUUGGAAAAUAAUUUUUUUGAAACUUAGUUGUAACCAAAUCAUUUGUGAUUAGGUUUUAAUUUGGGUGGCAUUUAGAAUGCACAAGUGAAACUUUUUGUGUAUCAUACACAAAUGAGUUUUUCACCAUUAAUAUAUUAUUAAAUAAUUGAAUGGCCAAGAUUGAAGAAUGGUUACUUGUUUAAUGAGUCUGGUGUUCAAUUGUUGGUAUUUGCCUUAUGGUGUCUAACAGUAAUAGAAUUGCAUAGAUUCAUUUAUGAAAAAAAUAUUACGUAAAAAUAAUAAAAAUAUUGAAUACUAAAAAAGUAAUAAUUUUUAUCGGAAAAUAGUUCAUAAAAUUGUUUUUAUUUUUUGAAACCGUUCAUAAUUUAUUUUUAGAAAUAAUUCAUAUUUUGAAUGGAAAAUAAAAGUAUUAUUUUUUUUUUCAAAGAAAAAUAAAAUUAGUAUUAUACAACUCUAAUAUAUAUAGGGAAAGUUAAGGGUAUCACCACCAUUUUUUAAUUUAGAAUUAGAACAACUGUGAGAAAAAAAUAGAUUUUUUUUUUAGAACAUGAAACUUUAUCAUGUGUAUAUAUCCUUUAACUAGAAUGAUCAAAUGUUUCUUAUUCUGUUCAAGAUAACAAAUAUUCAUUUAAUACAGGUUUAAUGUUCAUGACAUUCUUCAUUGUAAAGAAACCUGAGAAUGUUGUUGUUUGUUUCUACUCCUAGAUGACAAAUAUUCAUUGAUUAACUCACCCAAACUAAAUAAAAUUACAUGAAAAUUAAGAAAUUAUUAGGAAAAAAAUGAAGCUUCAUUUCACACAGAGGAUGUUGUUGUUUGUAUCUAUUCCCAGAUUCAGAAAAAAUCAUUCAUCUUCAACAAUUUGGUGUUCUUUCUGCAAAAUCCAGAUCUGAGAAAUAAAAAUCCAGAAAUCAUAAAACAAACCUAGAAAUUGGUUGGCUUUAAAUCGCUGCUUUAGAUACGGGAAAACUCUAUGAUCUUCAUGGAGAACCCUAUAUCCAUUAUAAUUCAUUGCUUGGUGUUCGUCAAUCAUUUGGGAGUUCUUCCUAAAAUUCCAAAUUUAAUAAACCAUUUAUCUUCAUCUACAUUAACGUGAUCUUCUCCCUUCCCUUUUUCGUAGCAUAAAGGGAUACACAAGAAAGAUUCAUGCCCAAAAAAAUUUGUCAAAAAAGAUGAGGCGUAGAAAAGUUGGGUGGAUGAGGAAGAUGUGUUGUUGGUUCCAUCAAUGAAAGUGAAAUUGUUAGACAUAGUUGUUGCUGGUUGGUAAAGAAAAAAGAAUUUAUUUGAUUUGUGUUUAGUUGAGUAAUGACAAAAAAUAACUGAGACAACAUAUAUAAUUAUUGAGAUUCAAGUGGUCAAAUAUAUAAAAAUAUAGAAAACAGGCAGUACCGACUAUCGUAAGUAGAAGGCUACUUGGGUAUCAUACACAAAAUCAUUGAUUUGUGCAUGUUAAACGCCACCUUUAAUUUGGGUAGGUGACAACAUACUAUUCAGUGGAGUGCACACUUUCACGCUGUGGUUUUUUGUUUUUUGCUUUUGAGAGCUAAUAAUGUUGACAUGUGAUUGUGGCAGUGAUAAAUGAGUCUCACUGAUUUUCAUGUCGUAUAGGGAAAUGUGUUUCUACACUUGAGAACUAAAAUCUCUUCUAUAUAUAUAUUUGCCUUUGCCCGUGAUCUCGUAUAUACAGCUUUAUGCUGGUACGUAUAUUUGUAUUAUCUUUUUGUUUCUGUUUCUAGUAUUUCUAUUUCACACGUUCGUCCAAAGAAAAUUUUGCUGUCCUGCGUGCUUUGUGCAGAUUAGUUGUGGCAUAAGAAAUGCGAAGAAUAUAGAGGAAGAAGAUUAGAACCUUAAUUUGGAGAAGAAGGUGUUGGGUCCAGCCAUUGUCACAUGGUCAUGGUGCAUGUGAAGAUAGAGAGUUGCAUGUUUGUAAUUUGGUGUGUUGCAUAAGAGCAAGUCUUUUAUGUUUGCAACCCCAAAUCAAAAAAUAUUUAGGUAUUCUCACAUAUAAUGAAAAAAAAUUAAAAGAUAUAAAAUUAAAUGAUGUUAAUUGAUGAGACUAAAUUAAUUUUGUUUUAACUGUUUUUAUUUCAUGUGAUUGUGUCCAAAUAUUUUUGAUUUGAGGUUAUAAUCAUAAAAGACUUACUAAUGUAAAUUGUAAAAUGCACGUAAAUGACAAAUAUCAACAAGAAGAAGAAGAAGCAAGAAGCAUACUCUUGCACAAGAGAGCCCUACAAGAGAUAAAGAGCGAGAGCAAAAUAGAUCAUAGUGUUUCUUUGUGAGGGAAAAAUUAUACCCACUAAUGUGUGAAGUUUUUAUGUUCCCAUUAUGUACGGUGGAAGUUUAAGUGGCCUACUGAUCCCGUUCACUUUGAGAAGGUUUUUCUAUGUUGAAUAUUUUUUGGUGUUACUUUGCUCAUUUUAUUAUGUCACUAGGGUUUAUUUUGAGUUCAAGGAGGAGAGGGAAAUUGUUGAGGCAUUUCCCAAUAAAAUGGAGAAACUCAGAUAGGUUGAAAUCUUAAUCACACAUUUUUGUGUAGCAAAUGUGAGGUAAAAAUUGUAAUCCAUCUGGAAUGAAAUGCAAGCAAAACUGAUAGUUGAAAAAUCAAUGUAUGUGAUUAAAAAUUUAGUCUCCAUAUAUCAGAUUUUCAUCUAUCCUUUUUGCUUAUAUUUCAUCCCAAAGGAAGUAUAUUGGAUGAAAUUUUUGAGAGACUAAAAAUAAAAAUUUGAAAAUUUAUAGGGAUCAAAACAUAUUUUAAUCCUUAUUGGGUUGAAAAAUUAUUCUAAAUUUCAUCAUAAUUUUUUUUUUGGUUGCAAAGAUAAUAAAAGGAACAAACAAGAAAGAAAAAGAAAACUGAAAAAACAAGCUUAAUAUUCCCUAAGGAAGAAAGUGCCAGUGACAUCGCUUCUAAGAAGAUUGGCGAGACCAGCAAGGGACGACUCAUAAAUAACAAGGCCAACAUCAAAAGAAGAUUCAAGCUUUGUAAGGAAAUUCGCACAAUAGGUCCCUUAUCUGAGAGUGUGCCAAACCGUAAAAGUACUUUGAAGAAGUAAAUCUUUUAUGUCUUGGAUAAUGACCGUAUAAACAUGGUAUUUCUCCAUGGACCAUUAAUAAAAUUCAUUUAAAUAAGAGAGUCAGAAUAACAAACUAGCUCCGUAUAACCCAAAUCUUUGGCCAUAAUUAGACCAUAAUAGAUAGCCGAAAGCUCAGCCAACAUAAUAUCAUCUGAGUCUAGAAUAAAACAUGAUUUCAUCAUAAAUUUGAUAGAACUAACAUUGUCAUAAAUUUGCUAGCAUUAACUCUAAGACCACCUACGGUGAAAGAUUUUUUUUUCUCCCCAUUUAACAACCUUCUAAAUUGACAUGUGUCUUUAGAAAAAUGAAUGCCUAUAUAGAUGUAUGUUUUAAAUUUAUGAAAAAUGCAAAUUUGUACAUUUAGGGCACAUGCAUGUUGAUAUAAAAAAACAAAAAGAACAAAAAUUCUAGGAAAAAAUAAAAAUUAGACCUAUUGAUUUUCACUCAGUCAUAUGAUGUUUUUUUGUUUUGUUUUGAAGGACUCAGUCAUAUGAUGUUAAGAUUUUCUUUUUUACUAAUGUUAAAAAUGAGUCGAACUUAGUUCAAUAAAUAUCUGGUCAACUUUAUUUUGACAAAAGAAAAUUGAUUAACUUGAAACUCAAGUUAAUUUGUUACAAACAACUUUUCUGGCUCGAACUCACUUAAAACAACUCGCUUCAAUGUGCGGUCUAUAGGGGGAGAGUGUGUAAAAGAGUACUUUUUCAACGUGGGAAGUCAAUAUGACAAUGUUCCCUAAUUCAGACUUUUGUCCAGUGCUCCCUUCUUGUUCUUCCUAUGAUUAAAUUCAAGAUAGCAGUUGGCACAUCACAACUAGGGCCGUUCCUACGAAUUUGGAGGUACGAUGCUGGAAGUGAAAUGAGACCUAUAAUAAAAUGCAACGUUGAUCAAGCUGUAAAAUAAAAUGUUGAGGUUGAACCAUAAAAUAAAAUUAAGACAUAAUUAGUAAUUAGCAACAUUAUCAAUUAUACAUGUUAAAACAGAGAAUAAUCAAAAACUUAUAAAAUUAGGAACAGAACAGUGUCAGUGUUGUUUUGGAAAGGGGAAAACGUUAAUCUCUAUUUGAACUUCUAUAACUUAUAAAAUUAUGCAUGUUAAUCUCUAUUUGAACUUGUCAGCCUCAUAAAAUUUAUAAAAUUAAACCAUAAAUCAGCCAAUUUAGCAAUUUGAAAAACUCAUAAAAUUAAUCUCUAUUUGAAGAACUCAUAAAAUUAAUCUCUAUCAAUCGCUAUUCCAACAUUUAGCAAUUUUAACAUUCAAUAAAAAUCAGCCAAUUCCAUGAAAGGAAGUAAAAUAAAUCAAUGAAAGAGAGGUUAUUUACCUAAGGGAGUAACAGUGUCAGUGUUGUUUUGGAAAGGGGAAAACAUCAAUAGGAUGGUCGAUGAUGAUGAUGGUAUGGUCAAAAAUCGAAUUGGUUGAGAGAUGCAGUCAGAGGAAACGUUUGAGUAGUCGACAAUCGCGUUUGAAUCAUGAAGGAAGAAGAAAAACGAAAAAUUGAUGGUGAGAGGAAUGGAACGCGCGUUGGUAUGUAUCAGAGAAAGAGUAUUUUUUUUUUUAGUGGGGGGUACUGGGCUAUAAUUUUUUUUUAGGCCCAUACCCAAGGGAGGCUCGAUGCUAUAGCGCUGCUUGCACCCCAGGGUCCGGCCCUGGUCACAACCCUUUGAAACUCAAAACCAGAACCAAUAGCAACAUUUUUGUUGAAAUUUCUUGUUCUUCCUAUGAUAUUCAGACAAAAUCUUAAAUCUAUUUUGUUGAAAAAACUGAAAAUUUUGAAGGUUAAUAUCACUAUGUUCGAACGGCUACAUUGAACUAAGAACAUCUUUAAUGGGAGGUCCUUACUUAACAAGGACCACUCCCUGUUAAGAACCCCCAUUGGAGGAAGAAAAAAUGAAUCCCCAUUAAGGAACAGGUAACUAUAUAAGAAUCCCCUCUCUCCUAGGUAACUAACGGAUUUCACGUUUAAAAGAAGUAAUAAAAUAUGUAAUAUGUGGUCCCGCUUACAAAAGAAGUAAUAUUUUAAUAAUUAAUAGUUGUUUUAAAUAUUAUUUUAUCUAUUUAUCAUCAUUUUAAAUAAAAUGUAAUUCAUGCAAAUUAUUAUUAUUUUUUAACGAAUGAAUGUAAAAUUUGUAAUGAUAUUUUUUCCAUUUUCAAAUUAUUAGCAAAUGUGGCAGAAAUUUAAGUUUAUACGAAUAAAUAAAUAUUUUAUAAUUUAAUUUUUUUAAGGAUUAUAAUUAAUAAAUUAGUAAAUAAAUAUUUUUUAAGUUUUUACAAAUGUGGUCAUUUAUAAUUUAGUAAAUAAAUUAUUUUUGUUUAAUGAUGUAAAGUUAGUGGGGCCUAUUUAAGUACUUUUUAUUGGAGUCCUUAUUAGUGUACUCUCAUUGGAGCCAUUGAGUCAUUAAUAUGUAUUUUUAUUAAAAUAUUAUAAAUAAAUGAUGUGUAACAUGGGGUCCAUUUAAGGAGUCCCUAUUAAGGAACUACCAUUGUAGAUGCUCUUACUUAACAAGGACUACUCCCCGUUAAGAACCCUCCAUUGGAGGAAGAAAAAACGAGUCCCCCUUAAGGAACGAGUAACUAUAUAAGGACCUCUCUCUCCUGGGUAACUAACGAGUCUCACGUUUAAAAAAAAUAAUAAAAUGUGUACUACUUGGUCCCACUUGCAUAAAUGAGUAAUAAAAUGUGUACUACUUGGUCCCACUUGUAAAAAGGAGUAAUAUGUAAAUUAUUUUUCUUUAAUGAUGUAAAGAUAGUGGGACAUAUUUAUAUUUAAGUACUUUUCUUUGGAGUCCUUAUUAGUGUAUUGUCAUUAGAGUCAUUGAGUCCUUAAUAGGUACUUUUAUUAAAAUUAUAAAUAAGCGAUGUGUUUCGUGGGAUCCAUUUAAGAAGUCCUUGUUAGGAAACUAUCAUUGUGGAUGCUCUAAGCGUUGGUACGAAGCACAAAGAUGCAUUUAAUUUUAUAUGGUUUAUAUCUAAUCCUUUCCCAACAAAAUCAACACUUAAGGAAGAAAAAAAAUGCAUAAAAUCUUCAAUGUGAUAAAAAAAAAAGGGUCAUGUUAACUAGUGCCCCCGGGGCACUAGUUAAGAAAACUAUAAAGAGAAAAUUUUAAAUUAAAAAAAACACUUUAUUGACUUUUAAGGGAUUGCCAACACAAUUUUCAAUGUAAAUACAUACUAUAUUUAGUUCUUAACUAAACUAGUGCCCCGAGGGCACUGGUUAAGAUUCCCUGACAAAAUAGCAACUCAAUAUGAGAAUUUGAUGGAACUGUAAUUUUUUUUUUUGUAUUACUAUAUAAAUAAUAAAUGUGGGAAAAUGCAAUAUACUCGUAUACGGGUCGGUUUGAUAGACUUUUUUUUAUAAGUCUAAGCCUAGUCUAUUUAGAUUAAUAGGCUUUUAAAAAGCUCAUAUUUAACCUAUUUAUUAAACGAGUUAGACCGAAUUUUUGGUAGGUCGAGCCAUAGACCCUAACGGACGAUUUGACCUAUUCCCACAUGUAACUGAUCUGUUAGAGCACAAUACAGCUCACAAGUACUACAAAUAAGACUAAGAUAACAUAAUUAUAAGACUAAUAUAGGGUAAUUAAAAGAAUAAGAUAAAGUAAUUUUUUAAAAGACCCAAAUUAAAAACAUAUAGGACUAAGAAAAAGUAAUUUGAAAAAUAUUGUAUCAACUGUUAACAUAUGCAGCUCACAAGUACUACAAAAGUAGUACAACGAAGACCAAUACAAAUCAUAUAGAUGUACCGUAAAUAGUGUUUUUGAAAAAUUGCAUGAUAAGUAUUCUCUUCUCUCUCUUUUUUUACUCAAAUAUUCUCUUGAUGAUAAGUAUUAAAAAUUGAAAAAAUUGUAUUAAAAUUUACGUAAAUAAUAUUUUCAUGAUGUCAUAGUGGCCAGCAUUCCCACUACAUAAUGUGAGGCAAUUGAUUAUUUAGAAAAAUGAUAAACCUAAUCACUUGGACUGAAGUUUUGUUGUAACUUGAAGAGGUUGACAAGAGAUUAAUUAAAGCAUGUUGUUCUUAAAUAUUCUCUAAUUCAUUUUGUUUAUAGCAUAUGAGUAAGUGUGAUACUAUUCAAGUCUUCGCUCCUCUCUUUUUUCCCUUAAAUGCAAAUGUAAUGAUGAAUCAAAUGAUAAGAAAUGCUGAUUGAAGCAGCAGACAAAAUAAUCAAACAAAAACAAGAGGGAGCUAGCCAAGCCACAAAAAGAAAUGAAAACAGCUCUAAGUAACAAACAAGCCAAUUACGAUGAAACACAAGACUAAUUAGUUAAUUUAGUAAAAAAAAGACUAAUUAGUUAAUUUAGUAAAAAAUAAGACUAAUUAGUUAAUUAAGUAAAAAAAAUAAGACUAAUUAGUUAAAUUGAUACCAAUUAAGACCCGACCUCUAACAAUGAAGUUUGUCGCAUAUUAUGUAAAGAAGCCGAUGGAGGUACCUUACACUUUCGGUUUAACUUAUUGUACAAUUCCGAAUAAGAUUACCGAAAGUAUAAUUUAAAGACUAAAUUGUUUAGCCUAUGGAGUAUUUCAGAGACUAAACUAAUUAACUAGAUCUUAGUUUGAAUUAGUCGAUUGGACCAACCAACCAAGUUGUAUUCUCUCCAAUUGUCAAUUUCAUAUCUUUAAACUAAUUUUUUGUGCAAGUUAACUUUUUAAUUAUGUUUUGUUUUUAAUCAGAACACCUUGUAUCUGAAUUGGAUUAUGAUGUUUCAACAACAAUUAAAUUUUUUUUUGUCAAAACAACAAUUAUUAGUUAUUAUCCCUUAAAAAAAAAAAAAUUAGUUAUUAUGGCCCCGUUUGGAUAAACAACUUAUAUAGAUGCUUAUAGCAUUAGAGCUUAUAACAUUAGAGCUUACAUCAUAAACUCUUAUACUUGAUAAACUAUUUAUGUUUGGAUAUGUACACUAAAAAGUACUUACAUAAAUUGAAGUGUUUGGAUGUGACAUUACAUAAACAAUUAUCGAAAUUUUAAAUAUUUUUAAUUUAACAAAAAAAAUUAAAGAAUCGAACCACAAUUGUCAAGAUUUUUUUUGAUAAAAUUAAUCAAGAUGUAAAAAACAAUAUUAUAAUAUAUUAAUUAUAAUUAUAUAUAUAGUAUAAUCAAUAUUCGUCUUUAAAAAAUAUCAAUAUUCAUAUAAGACAAAAUUAACAUUUGAGGUGUAAAUAAAUAGUCUAAACAUCAUCAUACACAAGUAUAAUAAUAUAUGAUAAGCUUUCUUUUAAAAAAAAGUAUAAAAAUAUAAAUAUAAACUUGAGAAAUUAUGAUUGUAAACUUACCAUAUAUGUAGAUAUUAAUGUACAGUUUGUUACAAAAAAUGAAAGAUAAGUUAAGUUUAUUUUUUUAUUCAGUUUCAUUUUGUUACGAAACAAAAAAAUAAUAAAAAUCUUAGUUACGUGUGUUACUUUAGUAAGAUAAGUAUAUAACAAUUUUGUUACUCAUGCACAAUCAAAGAUAACUAACAUUAUAAUUAAAAUAUAUGUUUUUUUUAAAACAAAAAAAUAAAAAUAAAAUAUAUGUUUUGAAAAAGUGGAUCCAGAGAGAAUCGAAGGUUACAUAAAUUCAUAAGCUCCUUGUUAAGCCCCGUAAACUGAAAAUUCAGGCUUAUUAAAAUAUGGCAUAAGCAGCUUAUGAAACUAUGAUAAACUAUUUUUAUUUAUUUACCCAAACACCUUUAAAAAGGAUUAUGAGAGUAGAUAAGCCCACAUAAGCUCAAAAUAAGUCAAUUACGGAGCCUGUAUGUUUCAACAAUAUAAACAACGUGAUUCCGAAAGAAAACCAAAAGAAGUAGUUUUUCUUUGAAAAUAACAACUUUUUAGUUUUUAACAAAACAUUUUUAUAUUUUUUUGUACAAAAUUGAAUUUACCACUUUUCAUAAAUUUCUCAACAACGUGAAUUUACCACUUUUCAUAAAUUUCUCAACAAAACAUUUUUAUAUUUUGUUGUCUUAAUCAAUAUUAUAAGAGCACUCUUUAUCAUUAUUUUUUUUAAUUAAUAUGACCAAUUGAAACAAAAAUAAAUUAAACUCUAAUGGUUAAUAAGUUCGACCAAAUGUGAAUCAUUUGAAAAACUGAAGUUUAGAGGGUUAACAACCACAAAUACGACCAAUCGAUUGUCCACUUUCUUUAUUCAAUGUUUGGAAUGGUCUUCCUUCAUGUUUAGCAAGUAGCAGAACUAACAUAUUUUUAUAGUAAGCAAGAGGACUUUUGAUAUAAAUUAAAAUCACUCAAUCAUUCAAAAUGUCAAGAUAACGUAACGUGGUUGACUUUAUUAGGUAGGUAGUAUGUUUUUUAUAUUGAAUAAAUCAUUUGCCACAUGUGGCAUAUCAUAGUACACUAACUUUUUAUAUUAUAUGCACUACUAAGUACCAAUAUAAAUUAUAACCUAUAGAAACAACUCUCGCUUAUGAAUUUGAACAUCAUUUGAUCAAAAUCACAAACAAAAAAUGAUGCCUCUACGCUUAUAUUUGACAAUUGUACUAAUAGCAAUUGCAUUUUCAUUUACAUCUUUUGCAAUUGAUACAAGUCCUCAUGAAGAUAAUUUCCUUCAAUGUCUCUAUAGUUAUUCACAUAACAUAACUUCAAUCUCUAAAGUUGUGUACACAAAAACCAAUUCCUCUUACUCAUCAAUACUCAAAUUUUCAAUUCAAAACCUCAGAUUUGCAACCAAUGAAACACCAAAACCCCUUGUCAUUAUCACACCUACACAAAUUUCCCAUAUUCAAACAGCCAUAAUCUGUUCCCAACACCAUGGCAUGCAAAUUCGAAUUCGUAGUGGUGGCCACGACUUCGAGGGUCUCUCCUUUGUUUCAAAUGUUCCUUUUGUAAUCAUUGAUCUCACAAACUUUAGAGGAAUUGAUGUAGAUGUAGAAAACAGAACUGCUUGGGUUCAAUCUGGUGCAACCCUUGGUGAACUUUACUACAAAAUUGCCCAAAAAAGCAAAACUCUUGGUUUCCCUGGAGGUGUUUGUCCUACUGUAGGUGUUGGUGGACACUUCAGUGGUGGUGGCUAUGGAACCUUGUUGCGUAAAUACGGUCUUGCGGCCGAUAACGUCAUUGAUGCUCACAUAAUUGAUGUGAAGGGUAGGUUUCUUGACAGAGAAGCAAUGGGUGAAGAUUUGUUUUGGGCUAUUAGAGGUGGUGGAGGAGCAAGUUUUGGUGUCAUAGUUUCAUGGAAGAUUAAACUUGUUCAAGUUCCAUCAACUGUAACGGUGUUUACUGUUCCAAGAACAUUGGAACAAAAUGCAACAAAGCUUGUUCACAAGUGGCAGUUUGUAGCUCAUAAACUUGAAGAAAACUUAGCCAUUAAUAUUAUCUUGCAAAGGCUAGAUUUAAAUUCAAGUAAACAAGGUGAGCCAAAGUCAACAGUACUAGCUUUAUUUCAAUCCUUGUUUCUAGGAAGUGUAGAUAACCUCUUACCCUUGAUGGAAGAAAAGUUUCCUGAACUUGGUUUGGUUAGAGAAGAUUGUGUUGAAAUGAGUUGGAUUGAAUCAGUUCUUUACCUUUUUCGGUUUCCAGAAGGCGAACCACUUGAAACGUUGCUCAACAGAACACUAGCUGCAAAGGAUAAUUCCAAAGCGAAAUCUGAUUUUGUCAAAAUUCCUAUUCCUGAAACUGGUUUAGAAGGAUUAUGGCCUUUGUUUGAUGAAGAUGGUGCGGAAGAUGUACUAAUGGUAUUGUUUCCUUAUGGUGGCAUAAUGGAUAAGAUUUCAGAAUCUGAAAUUCCAUUUCCACAUAGAUAUGGAACCUUAUACAAAAUUCAAUAUGCAGUGCACUGGCAUCAAGAAGGUGAUGAGGUGGAAAAGUUGCACAUCAAUUGGAUUAGAAAACUUUAUAGUUAUAUGGAACCUUUUGUUUCAAAGUCUCCAAGAGCUGCAUAUAUUAAUUAUAGAGACCUUGAUAUUGGGGUGAAUAACAUUAAUGGAUACACAAGCUACAAGCAAGCUAGUAUUUGGGGUGUUAAGUACUUCAAGAACAACUUCAAAAGAUUGGCAAAAGUGAAGACAAAAGUUGAUCCUCUAAACUUCUUCAGAAAUGAACAAAGUAUACCUUCUCAUGUGUCCAAGGGACGCAAAUAGAAUUUCUUGGAGCUCAAAAGGUCAUAGUAAUAAAAUACAAGCUGCUUUGUUAUUUCUCAAUGAUAGUUAUCUUUUAUAUGUGUACUUUUAAUUUAUACUCAUACUUAAGAAAGGAAUGAAUGAAUGCUUAUAGAUUAGCAGUGGCAGAUUCAUAAGCUUAUUGUAAAAUGUUGAGAAGUAUGGAAAUUCCCAACAAAUAGAAAAAUAAAAUGAUAGAAAGGUUUAUUUUGGAAUUGAUAGUAUGAAGAAGCUUAGUCAAUUGAUAGAAACUAAAUAGUUUUCAUAAGCAGUAACAAAAGAAAGAUAUACAACAGAUUGCAUAAAUGAAAGCUUCCCAAAUUUUCUGGUAAACCAUAUAGGACCAAAUUAUUCUUUCGACAUAUAGAUUAAAAAGGGAGCGAAAUCAGAUUUGUCAUCACUAUUAAUGUAUUUCUUCGAAACAUAAGUAAAAUUAGUCCUCCGCUAUUAAGUUAGGGCUCUUAAAUUAGAAAAUGCAGCACACAUGUUGCGAAAGAGAGGUCAGCUAGGUAAUGUCCUAGAGCCAAUCUUAAAUUUUCAUUCAGAAAGUUAGAAGAAAUGCAAAAACAGAUUUGUUGCAGAAAAUAUGAGCAGAGAGCCAAAGAAAAUAAAGGCAACAUGUUCCUCGUUAGAACCUUCUGAGUUAGUUUUGUGGAAAGCCAUAACGACGGAGAAAAACUACUAAUAGAUUUGUCAUUGGUGUGCCUAACUGGAUUUUCGACAGAAGGGUUGAUAGUUUCGCGUCAUAUCUAAGACCUCUAACAACCAAUCAUGCCAUAUUGAAAAUGAAAAUUACUAGUAGUGCUAUUCCAAAAGAAUAAAAAAGUUAUAAUUAAAGGCUUUUCGAUUUUUCUUGUCAAAAGGGGAUCUGAUAGAAUGCAUAUUUUUCUUGAAAACAACGGUAUAAUUCUUUCUGGAGUCCUAAAUACAAGAGACAGUUGAAUCAACAAAAGUUGUUUAGGACCGGAAGGAAUAAGAAGGAAGAGAAAGCAAUGGUUUCUUGGUUUUCAAGAUUUGGGAAAGUUCCCUCAAAAAGAUUUGGCACAAGCUCCGGAGCAAGCAUAGGACCAAAAAAAGCAAGGGAUAAUGAAGAUUUCUUAUGCUUGAAAUGGUUGAUUAUCUAACUUGCUUGGCAAAGAUAUUUCUUUUUCAGAACUGGUUCAUUAGGCACUAGUGGAGUGGUAGCAGUAAAAGGUUGAGGAAAUGUCAUUGAUGGUUGGAAGAAAGAGGAGGGAAGAAGAAGGGUUAGAGCUAAUGAAGUGAGAUUAAAAUCACAAAGACAAUGGUUAUUUAUAAGGAGAAAUUGGAAAAAAACAGUUGCUAAAAUCUAGGAAAAUUAUGUGAUUGCUUAAUUUUCAGGUACAAGAAAUUGAUUGGUUAAUUUUGUACGAGCAAGUGGUCGUGGAUAUGAUUAAAUUCAGAUUUUUGGAAGUGGUUUUUAGUAACAACUUCACUCUAUUUAAUGCUAUUAUUUGCAAAAUGUCCUUCAAUGAAAUCAAUUUCCAUAUAACCAAGUUGUUUGGGCUCCAGCGGCAAGGAGUUCCUUCCAAGGACGUAUUCGGAGAAUACCGGGUUCGAUUCUCAGGGGAAACAACGCUUGGCCAGUGCGCAUGCCUCUACGCAUGAGCCGAAUUAAUUGUCCACCUUUGGUGGGUCGGAAACCGAUGCGAAAGCAAAAAAAAAAAAUCAAAAUAUAAUUAAAAGUAUUGGGUAGUUUAGGAAGUACAAUUAUGUUUUUGUUUACAUCAAGAAAAUUAAUUAAAUUUAACCACUUUUCUUAAUCUAUAUAAAAAAAAAGUUGUAUUACUCAUAAUUGAAUGAGAGAGAUCCAAGGAAAAAAGUGAAUAGAGUACUUUAUCUAACAUGUACAAGUAAAAUGGUAUUGCAUUAUGUAUAAAUAUCAUUUUUUAUCAUUGAAUUGAAAAAUCAUAUCAUAUUUAAUUUAAUUUAAUAGUGAGAUUUAUUUCACUUGUGGAUAAUAGAAUUGGCCAAAACAUAUCUAAGAAAAACGAAUUGGCCAAAACAUGGAUAUGUUCUUGGCAAAAUCACACCUUAAAGAAAAUAGUUUGAAUCUAGGUUUAUCGAUAACGGAACUUGAGAUUCAGUUAGAGCAGUUGAUAAUACGUACCAAUAGUAAACGUGAUCAAAUGGUACCUAGCAAAUAAUUUACUUAUCAGAAGUGGACUCAUGUGAACCAAACCAUUGGGAUUAUGUGGGGUAACUCAGUAGUUAUUUUUGGAUCCAGGUCUACAAGAUUUACCGUCUAACUUGUUCACGUGGAAGAUACUCGGUUUGUUUCCAAAAAAUAUGAUAUAUGUGUAGUCAAAUACUCUAAAAUAUCAUGAUAAAUAAUUUUUUUUUUUGAAAAAACUAAACUAGUCCAACCAAAUUGACAAAAUAUGGAGAUCAACCAUGAGAUCUUGAGGAAGAGUCCUAAGCCAAUACUACCGGACCAAUCCAAGUGAAUUUCAUGUUAAAUAUCAAGAGAGUUUAAUAUCAUUAGUCUAUUAGUUCAUUAGUCUAUUUUAAACAUAGAACAAAUUGAUACUUAAUUAAAUGUGUUCAUAUGAAAUGAUUUGUUUUUGGUCGAAAAUAUGAAAUAGAUUUUUAAAUAGACUAAUAACUCAUACCAGACUUUCAAAAUAUUAGACUUAAAUCUUUUACAUCUCUGACUUCAGUCUUGCAAAUAUUAGAUUAUUAAGGGUUCUAGCAGAAAAAAAAAAUCAACUAAAAAAUAGUUAGUUGUCGAAUUUCCUAUAAUUUUGAUGUAUAUUUAUAUUUAAGUUUUGAAAUAAAAAUGAAUUGCUAAGGGUAAUUUUGUUUAGCAAAAGGUCCGGUCAAUAGGUAGUUAAUUGAUAGUUAACUUUCGAGUUGCCUUUAUAAAAUUUAGCGGAAAUACGAACACUUUUUUUUUUUUUUUUAUUGUUUUUCGUUGUACAUAUAUUUUACAUAAACUUAUUUAAAUUCCAUUUUUAAUAUUAAGUUUAUACAUUUUUAAGUUUGAAAUAUAAAAAUAAUGUUCAACAAAGAUAGGUAAUUACUUUUCAAAUACCCUAUAAUUAUGUCGUCGAUUUGAGUUUAAAUUUAAACGUAAUAAAUUAAAUGGUUUUCUUAAGGUGAACUUGGUUAAAAAAAUAUCUAACCAAAAAAUAACUACAUGAUAGAUAAGUUUUGAGUUUUUGUCCAAAAAAAAUGUACCUUUUGAGUUGUUGACAAACAUACACAGACAUGAGACACAUAAAUGGAGAGAGAGAUAUAUCAAACUACAUCAAUGAAUGUUACGUCAAUAUUACACCGCUCAAUAAUACAGUAUUACAUUACGCAACAACACUUAUGCUAGACUCCAAACACUUGGUUAUUUAGAAAACUCAUAAGCGUAAUCACUUGGAUUAUGAGUCAAAAAAUCAGUUGAAUUAAAUUUUAAUUUGCUGCAAGCCUGCAACUUGAAGAGGUUGAUGAGAGAUUAAUUAAAACAUAUGUUUUUUUUAGGGGAUAAAGCAUAUGUUGUUUAUAUUUAUUAAUAUUGUUCGAGUCUUUAGUCCUCUUUUUUUUAAAAUAAAAAUAAAAAUUGAUGAAUAGAAUAAUUAGUUAUGCUUAUUGAAAUAGCAGACAAGAUAAUCAAACAUUAGAAACAGUCAAAAACAAAAGGGAGCCAAGCAAUCGAAAUACAUUAAAACAGCUCUAAAUAGUAUAAAUAGCAUACAAAUCAAUCAUAUACAAUUAAACACAAAACUAAUUUGCUUCUCCAAUAUGAUGUCACUUUGGAAUAAGUGGCUUAGACCAAGGUGUGUUCUUCUCCAAUUGUCACAUAUAUAUUAAUAAUUUAGUGCAUGCUUUCUCUGAAUUGGAUUGUGAUGUUUCAACGAUAACUAAUACUAGUAAUUAAAUUUGUUUCUAAUACAAGACGUACGGUCAUGUAUCUGUUUUCUUAAUUUAUGCAACUUUUGUAAUGGUCCCCUUGCAUUGCAUAUUUAUUGUUUAGCAAGUAGCCAUAACCACUUCUAAUUCAAACCAAAGAAACUUUAUUUUAAUAAUAAUAAAAUGUUGAAAUAAAACCACAUACCCUGUCUGUUUAGCAAGGAAAAUUUUCUAAGCUUUGUGCAUCAAGUAAAAAAGGUGAGUCAAAGUCAACAGUACUAGCUUUAUUUUAAGCCUUGUUUUUUUGGAGGUGUAGAUGAACUCAUGCCCUUGAUGCAAGAGAAGUUUCCUGAGCUUGGUUUGGUUAGAGAAGGAAUAUGGCCUAUAUUUGAUGAAGAUGGUGACAAUGAUACUGUUUCCUUAUGGUGGCAUAAUGGAUAAUAUUUCAGAAUUUGAAAUUCCAUUUCCACAUAGAUAUGGACAUGGCCAGUUAUGUGUAACUGCAACAAGGCCCUUGGCGCCGCAAAGCCUCUAACAUAAACGGGCCUCAAAAUUUGAAAAUAAAAAGCUUGUACUCACUAAGGAUGUUUUUUCUGUCCAUAAAAAAAUUACUUUAUAGUUAAAAAAAAAAUGUAUCAAAACCACCGUUGAAUACUUCUUUGGAAAAAGUUGGAAAUUUUGGGUGUGCCUGUCGUAUUAUGUGUCACAUAUAUGUGGGAUGUUAUUUAGUGUUUUGAGGUCUAUUGAACAAGCUAUAUUUGUGAGUUUGAUACCUGUUUUUGUUUAGUAAAAUACAUUUUUAGUUACUAUAUAUUUAAAUUUUCAAGUUUUGUAUUUUGCGGUGAUUAAAAAAUUCACAUUUUUUUAUUCCAUACAAGUAAUCAAUUCCAUCUAAAAAUUGAUGUCAGUUUAGCCAUUGAAAAAUCUAUACAAACCUGUGAAUGCCUUCAAAUAAUUGGAAGGUUAACAUUGAAUCUUAUGAAUGACAUCCAAGAGGGUUGUCUUACAUUGCAAUGGAUUUUAACCUAAAAAGCUAUUACGUGUUAAUCUAAGGUUAAUUAAUUUUCUGAGACUCAAGGCUUUGAUUGGCUUGAAGAAAUCGAUUGACAUUUCUAUGAUGAUCAAAGGUAGCAUUAAUAAUUUGAUCGGAUGCAACGUCUUCUUUCAAAUCUCAGCCAUGACAAAAAAAAAAAAAAAUGAAGGUUCAAGUUAGCAAAAGUGCACAUUUUUAUUUGAAUAAAAAAAAAUUAAUAUUCAUUAGUGUAAACCAAUUUAAAGCAAGAGAUAAUUAAGUAAAUAUCCCUCAAGCUAUUUAUUAUAAAAUACAAGUGGAUCUAAGUUAGCAAAUUUGUGAAGUUAACAAAUAUGUUUUAACACUAUUUUUUCAUACAUAAGACUAUUAUAAUUUUUUUCAUCAAUUGGAGGCUUUAGUUUUUUCCAAGAGCAUGCAUUCCCACUUGUUUCUAUUGAAAAAUCAUAAGCCUAAUCAGUUGGAUUAAAGUAAUGUUGCAACUUGAAGAGAUUGAUGAGAGAUUUAUUGAAUAAUCAGAUUAGAUUGGUUUUUUUUUUAAAAGAGUCAGAUUAGAUUGUUGUUAACUACUCUCUAAUUUUAUUUUAUUUUUGGUCAAGAACUACUCUCUAAUUAAUUUUGUUUUAACAUGAAUAAAUAUGAUAUUGUUCAAUUUUUCGGUCCUCUUUAUUUUUUUAAUAAACAUGCAAAAUGCAGUGAUAAAAGGAAUAAUUAGUAAUGCCGAUUGAAGUAGUAGUAGACAAGAUAAUCAAAAACGAGGACGCCAACUACCACAAGCCACCAAAAGACAUAAAAACAUAAUCUAAAUUUAAAUAGUAAAUUGUUUAAAGACUAAAUUACAUAUCAUGUGAGUAAUUCAACAACAAUUCCGAAUAAAAUUACAUAAGAUUAAUUUACCUAAAGUAUAAUUUAAAGGGGUGAAGAUCCUCUCCAUUUAACAAAAUAAAUGGAGUUUUGCUAGUUUGAGAGAGAUAGACACAAGAAAUAGAUGGUGGGUCCUACUACUAAGUGGAUUCCACCAUCAUUAAUUAUAUUUUACUUUUUUCAAGAUUUUAUGUGUCUUUAUCUCUCCAAAUUGAAAAAAUGGAGAAACGCAUAAAUGGAGAGGAUCUUAAUCCAAUUUAAAGACUAGGCUAAACUAAUUAACUAGAUGCCAAUUUGAAUUAACUGGAUUGGGCCAAGUGUCCAAGUUGUGUUCUCUCCAAUUGUCACUUGCAUACAUACUUUUAAACUAAUUUUUUGAAUCUUUUUUUAUACAUUGUUUCUACCAUAUAUUUUUGUCUCUGGAUCUUAUGAUGUUUCAACAAUAACUUAAAUUAAUAUCUUCACCAAAAAAAAAAAUAACUUAAAUUAAUAUGCAUCUAAUAGAUAACAGUCAUUUAUAUAUUGAAAUAAGAAGCGUGUGAUUCCAAUUAAUAAUUACAGUUAACUUAAAUGGACCAAUAGAUUAUUCGUUUUGUUUAUUCAACUUUUUAGAAUGGUCUUCCUGCAUGUUUAACAAGCAGUAUCAACCACUUCUUUUAGUCAAAAAAAAAAUCAACCUCUUCUUGUUAAAAUCAAAUAAAAAUAUUUAUUUUAAUGAAAUUGAUAGAGACUCAUACCUUGUAUGAUUGCCCGGGGUUUUCUUUUGUUUUGUUUUUUUAUAGUAAGGACGGGACUUUUCUAAUAUAAAAUGAUUCAAAUUCUAAGCUAUAGUUUCACGUGAUUGACUUACUUCUCUACUAUGCAUGUUGGAUUUAGAAAACUUUAACUAGUUGGAAUUUCCUUAGUAGAGAAUUUAUGAAAACAACUUUGGCAGUUUAUAAUUUUUUUUUUCUUCUUUCAAAAAAUAAUAAUAAUUGUUUUUCUAACUUAUUUUCAUAUGCUCUCUACGAUUAAUCAAGUGAUUUGAUUUAAAAGUUCUACCAAUGACACAUUGUUCAAGAAAACUUGAGAGAAUUUAUUUUCAUAUGCUCUCGAUGAUAACUUAUGAAAACAAACUAUGAUUUGAGGGACAGAUAGUUAUUUUGAUAUUUAAAUGUGUAACGAAUAGUCGCAGUAGUAUCUCAAUGUAUUUGAAUUUUAAAAUAGUCUUUGAUUUUCAUUUUGUUGGUCAAAUAGUCUCGGAAGUGACAAUAAAUAAGUAUAUUGAAGUACUAAUAUGACUAUAUUAACAAAGUAUUUUAAUGUUACAAACUAUUUUGACUAACGAAAUGCAUAAUCGUAGACUAUUUUAAAAUUUUGAUACAUUGAUGGACUAUUAUAUGGCUACUCCUUACAUACAAAAUGAUAAUUACCUUUUAUAAAUAAAACACAAUAUGUUGAGAAUAAGAACAACAACCUUAUGCAAAACUUGUGGAAUCAAAUAAGUGCACAUUUGCUAACUUAUAUGAGAAACAAAUUGUUUUUAUAGUUUUGUUACAAAAAAUAGUUUUUUUUAAACAAUUAGAUAAAGCACAAUUAUGCAAUAAGUGUUUAAUUGUUAAUCCACAUGGAUAUUUAUCUUCGAGCAUGUAGAAACCCGCCUAUAAAUUUGAAGCAUCAUAUGCACAACAUUACUAAAACAAAAUGAUGCCUCUAAGCUCAUAUUUGUCUGUUGCACUUAUUGCUAUUUUAUUUUCAUAUGCAUCUUCUGCAAUUGAUACUAAUACUUAUGAAGAUAACUUCCUUCAAUGUCUUUCUAGUUAUUCACAUAACUCAACUUCAAUCUCUAAAGUUGUGUACACCAAAACCAAUCCCUCUUACUCACCAGUACUCAAAUUUACAACUCAAAAUCUAAGAUUUGCAUCCUACAAAACACCAAAACCACUUGUCAUCAUCACACCUCUAGAACCUUCCCAUAUUCAAACAGCCAUAAUUUGUUCCCAAAAUCAUGGCCUCCAGAUUCGAACCCGUAGUGGGGGCCAUGACUUUGAGGGCCUAUCCUAUGUUUCAGAAAUUCCAUUUGUUGUCAUUGAUCUCAUAAACUUCAAGGAAAUUGAUGUAGAUGUAGAAAGCAGAACUGCUUGGGUUCAGUCUGGUGCAACACUUGGUGAACUUUACUACACAAUUAGCCAAAAAAGCCGAAAUCUUGCUUUCCCAGCUGGUGCUUGUCCUACAAUAGGUGUUGGUGGACAUUUCAGUGGUGGCGGCUAUGGAACCUUGUUGCGUAAAUAUGGUUUAGCCGCGGAUAAUGUAAUCGAUGCUCACAUAAUUGAUGUGAAAGGUAGGUUACUUGACAGAGAAGCAAUGGGUGAAGAUUAUUUUUGGGCUAUUAGAGGUGGUGGAGGAGCAAGUUUUGGAGUCAUAAUUUCAUGGAAGAUAAAACUUGUUGAAGUUCCAGCAACAGUGACGGUGUUUACAGUUCCAAGAGCAUUGGAACAAAAUGCAACAAAGCUUGUUCACAAGUGGCAGUAUUUGGCAAGUAAAAUUGAUGAAAACAUAGCCAUCAAUAUUGUCUUUCAAAGGAUAAAUUCAAGUAAAAAAGGCGAGACAACAAUUCUAGCUAUAUUUCAAGCCUUGUUUCUUGGAGGUGUAGAUAAACUCAUUCCCUUGAUGGAUCAAAAGUUUCCUGAGUUGGGUGUGGUCAGAGAAAAUUGUAUUGAAAUGAGUUGGAUUGAAUCGGUUCUUUACCUUUUUCAAUUUCCGAAAGGUGCAUUACCUGAAGUGUUGCUUAACAGAACACUAGCUGCAAACAGCCCAAGAUUUAUUUACAAAGCAAAAUCUGAUUUUGUGAAAACUCCCAUUCCUGAAAAUGGAUUAGAAGGAAUAUGGUCUUUGUUUCAUGAAGAAGGUGCCAAAGGUGCAAUGAUGAUAUGGUUUCCUUAUGGUGGAAUAAUGGAUACUAUUUCAGAGUCUGAAAUUCCAUUUCCACAUAGAAAAGGAAAUUUAUAUCAUAUUCAUUACCAGGUUGAUUGGCAACAGGAAGGUGAUGAGGUGGAAAAACUGCACAUUAAUUGGAUUAGAAAACUUUAUAAUUACAUGGAACCUUUUGUUUCAAAGUCUCCAAGAGCUGGAUACAUCAAUUAUAGAGACCUUGAUAUUGGUGUGAAUAACAUUGAUGGAUACACAAGCUACAAGCAAGCUAGUAUCUGGGGUGUUAAAUACUUCAAGAACAAUUUCAGAAGAUUGGCAAAUGUGAAGACCAAAGUUGAUCCUCUAAACUUCUUCAGAAAUGAACAAAGUAUACCUUCUCUUGUGUCCAAGGGACACAAAUAAAUUAAUUGGAGUAGCUAAGGUCACGAUAAUAAAAAAUAAGCUGUUUUGUUAUUUCUCUUUUAUAUGUGUAUCUUUUCUUUAUAAAUAAAGGUUUAGGGGAGUGGGGUCUAGAGCUAAGGGGUAAAGGCUUCAAGGCUCAAAGAGCAUUUUUAGAGAGAUAAUUACAUAUUACAUGCCAACAAGGUCUUCUUCAAUCGGGAGCAAGAAGAUUUCCACAUCUUUUUUGGAUGAGUAUCUGAUGCAGCAUUCAUCAACCCCUAGAUAUUCUAUGUGUGUAUUUAUUUUUACAUGUUUGUUUACUUUUACUUAAAACAAUGAUACUUGAAUAAAUUACUAAAGUUUGGUGUUAAACUUGACAUAUAUUUGUGUUUAUUGAAAGGAUAUUCCUGCGAAAACUGCUGGUUACACCCCCUAUAUUUGUAGUUAGCCCUUUGACACCAUUUAAUCAACAAAAUGGCCAAAGAAUGCCUAUAACUAGCCGGUAACAGUUGCUAAAACUUUCGAGAUACAUGCUCAUAUAUCUUCAACGACAACUUUGAAUGACAUCACAAGUUAGCUAAACUAUCAGUACAUUUAUUAGUUUCUCGGAAAAUAUGCUUAAUUUUGGCCUCAUGAUCUUCUUAUUGGGAACAACAAGACCUCACCCAUUAGUCGCGCUUACAUACUUGCCCUACAAACAAUCAACUACAUUAACUUUAGAAUCCAUAAGAAGCCUCCUACAUGUUAAAUAUCUUUUUCUUGUGAAUUGAAGACCCUCUUAUCAUCUACUCCUAUGCUGGUCAGAGUUAUACCGAAAAAAUUGGACAAACCUCAAAUUUAAGCACCAUUUGCAUCCCUUAACACCCCUCCGAAACAUGUUAACCUAGAAUUUUGAUGAGCACGAUCCGUAUUGAUAUGAACGCAUCCUGGCAGGGGCAGUUUCCAGUUGAUACUCAUACACGUCUUCAUCUUUAUCGUUGGUUGAAAUAAGGCAGCAUCAUUAUGGUAGUCACUCACUUGUUUGAAAACAACAAUCCGAAGUUUGUUACGUAAAUUCUAGGAUAAGUAUGUUUAAGUAAAUUCUGUUCAAGUACACUUUUGGUGAGAUUUGAGAAUUUGAUAGAGUUUGGGAUAAUUUGGCUUAUUUUGGCUUUUUAAAACCUGCCAUGAUGUUACUUAGAAUUAUGGGAUGAAACUAUAAGUUGUAUUCCAUGCUCUGUUGUAAACAUUUUGAGAAUUACAUAAGUAUUUAUAUUGUUUACUGUUUUUAUGCAUUUCGAAUUUCAAUUUGUUUGGAAAAGAUAUAUUUGCACACAGUUUUUUAGAACUAGCAUGCUCAUGUUCUUGUAUAAAAAAAAAAAAAAAAAUCAAAAUGCUCAUAUAACAUGUUGGCUGGACCACCUUCAUGUUGUUCAACCAUCGCAAGUCCUCGUCUCCAGCUAUGAAAUGACGACUUGGAAGGCAACUAUUCCAGACUGGAUCAAGGUCCAAUCCUAAAGUGUGAAGGCUUAAUAAAGAUUCUGAUCCAAAUAUGGAUCACCUACUCCUACAUAAAUAAGGCUGCAAAACAGAGAAAGGGAUUACUCGGAUCACAAUCACACGAUUACUCGGAUCACAUGUCCAGACUGGAUCUAGGUACUCUUAUCACAAUCACACGAUUACUCGGAUCACAUGUCCGAGAAAGCACAACCGCCUAACAUCCUCGUGCUUACGCGGAAACUUCAACCGUCUAUAAAAAAGGAGUCACCCACUCUAAAAAAUUAGCACACUCUCAUUUAAAAAAAGCCUCUUUAUUACAAGUACAUCAUUUUGCUCCGGUGAAAGACAACCGCAUCCCACCUACUCUGGUCGUCGUCCUUACACUUUCUUUUCCACUUGAAAUGUAUAAUUUAAAGACUAAACUAAUUAAUUAAGUGGAUUGGAUUGAACCAAGUUAUAUUCUCUCCAAUUGUCAAUUGCAUACUACAAAACUAUUAUUUUUUUGUGCAAGUUAACUCUUUAUUAAAGCUUUGUUUUAAACAUAUUUCCUUGUCUCUGAAUUGGACUACGAUGUUUAAACAAGAAUUAAUACUUAAAUAUGUUUCUGAUAGAUGAGUUCAUUUUUAUAUAUUGAAAUAAGAAGCAUGCUCCCAAUUAGCUCGCUUUCUUUAUGCAAAAUUUAGAAUGGUAGUAAGUAGCAACAACCACUUCUUAUCAAAUAAAAAAUUGAUUUCAAUGAAGUUAGAUAAAACAACAAAAGAAAAAACACCAUACCCUGCCGGCUUAACAGGGAGAACUAUUGUAUAAAAUUGAAAAAGUCAAGAUUCAAAUGUGUAGUUUCACAUGCUUGACUUGUCUACCAUAGUAGUUUUAGCAGAUACUUUAUUUAGGAGAUAAGCGUUUGAGAAAUUUUUCAUAAGUUGUUUUUCAACUUAUUUCUAUAAAAAUUCCUAGGAUAACUUAUGAUAACGGUUUAUAAUAUAUGAAAACAGACUGUUUUAUUCUUUCUUUUUUGUAAUAUAGUUUAUAAAAUGAAACGAAAAAAAUUAUACGUAAGCACUUAUUUGAUAAGCGGUUAUGUAAUAAGUGUUUAAUUUGUCUAUCCACUGUAGAUUUAUUCUCUACACCCACUAGAGUCUAAAAUCUAGCACAAGUGGUUGGUGCGAAGUUUAAAAAAAUGAAACAAAAUAAAGUUUACAUAAGCACUUAUUUAAUAAGCGGAUUAUAGAUUUCAACUCCAAAUUAUUCUAUAUACCAAUAAAAAUUAGAGCAUAGAGUGACACUUAUAAAUUUGAAGCAUCUUAUGCACAACACUACACUAACAAAAAAAUGAUGCAUCUAGGCUCAUACUUGUCUAUUGUACUAAUUGCUAUUUUAUUUUCAUUUACAUCUUCAGCAAUUGGUACUACUACUACUACUAAUGAAGAUAAUAGCUUCCUUCAAUGUCUCUAUAGCUAUUCACAUAACUCCACUUCAAUCUCUAAAGUUGUGUACACCAAAGCCAAUUCAUCAUACACAUCAAUACUCCAAUUUUCAACUCAAAAUCUCAGAUUUGCAACCAACAAAACACCAAAACCACUUGUAAUUGUCACACCUCUAGAAAUUUCCCAUAUUCAAGCAACCGUAAUUUGUUCCCAAUACCACAGCCUGCAGAUUCGAAUUCGCAGCGGCGGUCACGACUUUGAGGGUCUGUCUUAUGUCUCUGAAGUUCCAUUUGUUGUCAUUGAUCUCAUAAACUUCAGAGAAAUUGAAAUAAAUGUACACAAAAAAACUGCAUGGGUUCAAUCUGGUGCAACACUUGGUGAACUUUACUACGCAAUUAGCCAAAAAAGCAAAACUCUUGGUUUCCCUGCAAGUGUUUGUCCUACUGUAGGUGUUGGGGGACACUUCAGUGGUGGUGGAUAUGGAACCUUGUUGCGUAAAUACGGUCUUGCAGCCGAUAACAUCAUUGAUGCCUACAUAAUUGAUGUGAAGGGUAGGUUUCUUGACAGAGAAGCAAUGGGUGAGGAUUUCUUUUGGGCUAUUAGAGGUGGUGGAGGAGCAAGUUUUGGUGUCAUAGUUUCAUGGAAGAUUAAACUUGUUGAAGUUCCAUCAAUUGUGACAGUGUUUACUGUUCCAAAAACAUUGGAACAAAAUGCAACAAAGCUUGUUCACAAGUGGCAAUUUUUGGCAAGUAAACUUGAUGAAAAUAUAGCCAUGAAUAUUGUCUGGCAAAGGGUAAAUUUAAAUUCAAGUAAAAAAGGUGAGUCAAAGUCACCGGUACUAGUUUUAUUUCAAGCUUUGUUUCUUGGAGGUGUAGAUAAACUCAUACCCUUGGUUCAAGAGAAGUUUCCUGAGCUUGGUUUGGUUAGAGAAUAUUGUAUUGAAAUGAGUUGGAUUGAAUCUGUUCUUUACUUUUUUCAGUUUCCAAAAGGUUCUACACCUGAAGUGUUGCUUAACAGAACACAAGCUACACUUGAUAUAUUCAAAGCAAAAUCUGAUUUUGUGAGAAUUCCAAUUCCUGAAACUGGAUUAGAAGGCAUAUGGCCUUUAUUUGAUGAAGAGGGUUCCAAAGAUGCAAUGAUGAUAUGGUUUCCAUAUGGUGGCAAAAUGGAUACUAUUUCAGAGUCUGAAAUUCCAUUUCCUCAUAGAAGUGGAAACUUAUUCAUGAUUCAAUACUCGGUUCAUUGGCAUCAAGAAGGUGAUGAGGUGGAAACACUGCACAUUAAUUGGAUUAGAAAACUGUAUAGUUAUAUGGAACCUUUUGUUACAAAGUCUCCGAGAGCUGCAUAUAUUAAUUACAGAGACCUUGAUAUUGGUGUGAAUAACAUUAAUGGGUACACAAGCUAUAAGGAAGCUAGUAUUUGGGGUGUUAAGUACUUCAAAAAUAACUUCAAAAGGUUGGCAAAAGUUAAGACUAAAGUUGAUCCUCUAAAUUUCUUCAGAAAUGAACAAAGUAUACCUUCUCAUGUGUCCAAGGGACGCAAAUAGAGUUUUCUGGAGUGGCAUAGGUCAUAAUGAUAAAAUAGUAGCUGCUUUGUUAUUUAUCUUUUAUAUGUGUAUCUUUUCUUUGUUAUAAUAAAAGUAAAUUGAUUUUUAUUUGUGUGUAA
Molecule: long non-coding RNA, 28342 nt
Filed under: Medicago truncatula (barrel medic)
Lineage: Eukaryota; Viridiplantae; Streptophyta; Magnoliopsida; Fabales; Fabaceae
Description: long non-coding RNA (MTRU_LNC002242)
Source: RNAcentral